Pangasianodon gigas (Mekong giant catfish) is the source of this 73-nucleotide non-coding RNA. Lineage: Eukaryota; Metazoa; Chordata; Actinopteri; Siluriformes; Pangasiidae. The record is from the annotation of a GenBank genome assembly.
UUGUGGUGGCUCAGUGGUUAAGGCUUUGCAUCACAGCUCCGAAGGUUGUGUGUUCAAAUCCCAGUACUGCCAA